GGGGUAGCUUACACUUAUAACUUUAAGCACCUCUCUAUAGUGCUAUCUGGCUUCUUCGUUCACAGUUUCUUUCUACCUGCUUAUGGGUAGAUAGAGGCCUUAGACCGAACAAAGAAGACAGAUAAAAAAAAUUUAAAAAAAAAAAUAAGGAAGAAAGAAGCCAAAUAUUUAAGAGCUUCUUUCUUUCAUCAUGGCUUCUAUCACAUUUGAGGAACUCAAGAAUGAAAAUAUAGAUCUCGAAAAAAUUCCCGUUGAAGAGGUCUUUGAAAAACUAAAAUGUACGAGAGAGGGUCUAACAUCCGCAGAAGGAGAGAAGAGGCUCCAAAGUUUUGGUCCCAACAAAUUAGAAGAGAAAACGGAGAGCAAGUUCCUAAAGUUCUUGGGUUUUAUGUGGAAUCCAUUAUCAUGGGUUAUGGAGUCUGCAGCUAUCAUGGCCAUUGUAUUGGCUAACGGAGGGGGCAAGCCACCGGAUUGGCAAGAUUUCACUGGUAUUGUGGUGCUGCUUAUCAUCAACUCAACCAUCAGUUUCAUUGAGGAAAACAAUGCAGGCAAUGCUGCUGCUGCUUUGAUGGCUGGUCUUGCACCCAAAUGCAAGGUGCUGAGGGAUGGAAAAUGGAGUGAGGAAGAAGCAGCAAUUUUGGUACCAGGAGAUAUGAUUAGCAUCAAGUUGGGAGAUAUUGUCCCUGCUGAUGCCCGUCUCUUGGAAGGAGAUCCUCUCAAAAUUGACCAAUCUGCUCUUACUGGUGAGUCCUUGCCAGUCACAAGGAGCCCCGGUGAGGGAGUCUUCUCUGGUUCCACCUGCAAACAAGGUGAGAUUGAGGCUGUUGUCAUUGCCACUGGUAUUAACACCUUCUUUGGCAAGGCUGCACACCUUGUAGACAGCACCAACAAUGUUGGUCACUUCCAAAUGGUGUUGACAUCCAUUGGUAACUUCUGUAUCUGCUCCAUUGCUGUGGGCAUGGUGAUUGAGCUCAUUGUCAUGUAUCCCAUCCAGCAUAGGUCUUAUAGGGAUGGUAUUGAUAAUUUGUUGGUGCUUCUCAUUGGUGGUAUCCCAAUUGCCAUGCCAACUGUUUUGUCUGUGACCAUGGCUAUUGGGUCUCAUCGAUUGUCCCAACAAGGAGCCAUCACCAAGAGAAUGACAGCCAUUGAAGAAAUGGCAGGGAUGGAUGUUCUCUGCAGUGACAAAACUGGAACUCUCACCCUUAAUAAGCUUACUGUGGACAAGAACUUGAUCGAGGUGUUCGCCCCCGGCGUGGACAAGGACACCCUUGUCUUAUUCUCUGCCAGAGCUUCUAGGACCGAAAAUCAGGAUGCCAUUGAUACAUCAAUUGUGGGAAUGUUAAGUGACCCAAAGGAGGCAAGAGCAGGAAUCACCGAGGUGCAUUUCUUGCCUUUUAAUCCUGUGGACAAGCGCACAGCUAUUACCUACAUUGACAGCAAUGGUGACUGGCACAGAAGCAGCAAAGGUGCUCCUGAGGAAAUCAUUGCACUUUGUAGCCUCAAGGGAGAGUCACUGAAAAAGGCUCACAAGGUCAUUGAUGAAUUUGCUGACCGUGGUCUGCGUUCCUUGGGUGUUGCUCGCCAGACUGUUUCUGAAAAGACCAAGGAGAGUGCAGGAGAACCGUGGGAGUUCUUGGGUCUCUUACCCCUCUUUGACCCUCCAAGGCAUGAUAGUGCUGAGACUAUUCGUCGUGCUCUUGACCUUGGUGUUAAUGUUAAAAUGAUCACUGGUGACCAACUUGCCAUUGGCAAAGAAACCGGUCGCAGGCUUGGAAUGGGCACCAACAUGUACCCUUCAUCCUCCCUCCUUGGUGGUGAAAGCAAAGAUGCUGCCAUUGCAUCAAUGUCAAUUGAUGAACUCAUUGAGAAUGCUGAUGGAUUCGCCGGAGUCUUCCCUGAGCACAAGUACGAGAUUGUGAAGAGGUUGCAGGAUAGGAAGCACAUUUGUGGAAUGACCGGUGAUGGUGUGAACGAUGCACCAGCACUGAAGAAGGCAGACAUUGGCAUUGCAGUGGAUGAUGCAACCGACGCAGCAAGGAGUGCCUCUGACAUUGUCUUGACCGAGCCAGGACUCAGUGUGAUUGUGAGUGCAGUGUUGACAAGCAGGGCCAUCUUCCAGAGGAUGAAGAACUACACCAUCUAUGCCGUUUCCAUCACAGUUCGUGUGGUUUUUGGGUUCUUGCUCGUUGCUCUCAUCUGGAAGUUCGACUUCUCUCCCUUCAUGGUUCUCAUCAUUGCCGUCUUGAACGAUGGAACCAUCAUGACCAUCUCAAAGGACAGGGUGAAGCCUUCUCCUUUGCCCGACUCAUGGAAGCUUAAGGAAAUCUUCGCCACUGGAGUUGUUCUUGGAGCAUACAUGGCCAUCAUGACCGCAGUCUUUUUCUACGUCGUUCAUGACACUAAUUUCUUCUCUAACACUUUUGGUGUCCACCCAAUUGCAGAAAGUGAGGAGCAGCUUAACUCUGCUCUCUACCUUCAAGUGAGUAUCAUUAGUCAGGCACUCAUUUUUGUGACUAGGUCCAGAGGCUGGUCAUAUUUUGAACGCCCAGGCACCAUGCUCUGUGUUGCCUUCCUUUGUGCACAGUUGGUGGCCACUGUGAUUGCUGUGUAUGCACAUUGGGACUUUGCAAAAAUCAAUGGCAUUGGAUGGGAAUGGGCUGGGGUAAUAUGGAUCUACAGCAUCAUUACCUAUAUCCCUCUUGACAUCCUAAAGUUUUUAAUACGCAUGGGACUCACAGGCAGUGCAUGCGGCAACUAGCUCCAGAGCAAGGUUUAGAACAAGUAGAUUGCAUUCACAUACAAGGACUAUAGUAAGGGAGAAAGGGAAGCCCAAUGGGCUCUGGCCCAUCGCACUAUUCAGGUCCUCAAGCCCCUGAAACCCCCCUUGAACAAUAACCAUGAGCAUUCUGAAAGACUGAAAUUGCUGAACAGGCCAAAAGACGUGCUGGGGCAACCAGGCUGAGAGAGCUACACAAGUUGAGUCGGUUGUGAAGUUGAAAGGUCUUGACAUCGAAAUCAUGCAACAACACUACAAAGUAUAAAAGUAAUCCUACGAAUGGAAAAUGAGCUGAUUCACACUAGUAAAAGAAGUUAAAAUAGGCUAUUCGCGUAGGUGUGACCAUAAGUUUAGAAGACAAGAUGAAUUCGAAUUGUCUAUACUUUUACUCGUCUUUAGCUUACUUUCACUUCCUUUCCCCCUAAAAUCCAAUGUCAUUCUUUUGAAAUUGGAGUAAAAUUAGAGAAAUAGGUUUUCAUGUAAUUUUUAAAUUUCAUUAAUAUUUUUUAUUCCUAUUUUUAUGGAGAAAUCACAUUAAUAUUUA
Molecule: non-coding RNA, 3320 nt
Organism: Cajanus cajan (pigeon pea)
Lineage: Eukaryota; Viridiplantae; Streptophyta; Magnoliopsida; Fabales; Fabaceae
Source: RefSeq, a predicted model, not a curated record